RNAcentral lists this non-coding RNA (32 nucleotides) under Macaca fascicularis (crab-eating macaque). The record is from RNAcentral. Lineage: Eukaryota; Metazoa; Chordata; Mammalia; Primates; Cercopithecidae. RNAcentral also lists the same sequence under 1 other name.
CACCAUUUAACCUGUAAGCCACAGGUGGAAAA